Molecule: long non-coding RNA, 219 nt
Filed under: Elaeis guineensis (African oil palm)
Lineage: Eukaryota; Viridiplantae; Streptophyta; Magnoliopsida; Arecales; Arecaceae
Description: long non-coding RNA (EGUI_LNC016848)
Source: RNAcentral
UUCUUUCAUACUUUAUGAGAUGGGGGUAAAAUUGACCUAACUCAUUAAAUUUGUUUGCAUACUCCAGUACUGUCAUGUCAUCUUUUUUCUAAAGUCAAGAACUCGUUCUCCUUAACUAAUCUCAUUGACUCUAGAAAAUAUUGGUCAUAAAAUAUUUUCUUGAAUUCCGCCCAUGUUGGUUAUCAGCAUUCCCAUAUGCAGCCUUUAUUAUAGCCCACC